Molecule: long non-coding RNA, 3958 nt
Organism: Gasterosteus aculeatus aculeatus (three-spined stickleback)
Lineage: Eukaryota; Metazoa; Chordata; Actinopteri; Perciformes; Gasterosteidae
Source: Ensembl
UGUUAAAAUGAUUUAUAUGCUUACAGUUUGGUCGUUAACUAUUUAUAGUGUGCACAAGCAGAACAUCUGCCAGACAUGCAACACGGACAGACGCAGCAGGAACCAAAAGCAUCAUUUCCUCCACUCAAAUACACAAAAGGAGAAUUCCACAGACACACGUAAAAGUGACUACGGUUGUCAUGGGGACAACCAAGCAGUUCUUCAGUUUCGGGAGAAGCUGAAUCAAGUGAGAGAUUCUCCAGGAAUAACUGCGACAAUAACUCGAACAUUGAUGCUCCCUCAUGUGGACCCAAGCUUUACCGCGGAUGUGAAUCUUGAAUAUGAGACUGGACUCAUGUGCCUGGAAACAAAUAUAUGGAACAAUUUCAAAAUUUAUUUGGCGACCCACAAUAAGAUAUUUGGCAACUCACUGUUUGGGAAAUUACUCGUAUGAAGAAUGACUUUUAUCUGUGUGGAAGGGGAGUGCCAAUGUGUGAAAUCUCACACUAAUGGCUCCUAUAAUGUUUAUUUAAAGAAGAUGCUGCUUUCUUGUGACGAAAGUCCUCUAUUUUCCACCACAGCCCCAUGAGCCACACCAUACAUGGCACAGCCAUGACCCAAACAACCUGUGAGCUAAUCAGCUCCGCUGUGAAACAGAGCUUUUCUAAAGGCCGAGCAGAACUUUUCACCCCCCACAAAAGAGUCAUUGUUGAUCUGACUGACGUGUGGGCCGACUGAAAAGAACUGUGUUUGUGGUGCAGAGGAGAUGGCAUAUCAUCAGAGAGGACUUCUGAAGAACUGCCAUCGUUCCGGUAGUUUAAAAAGAGCUGAGGAUUCGGAACAUCAAUAAAGCAGUAAAGAAGUAUUUGCUUUGUUAAGUCAUAGUGGAAUAAAGUCUUCCUCCGGAGAUAAGUUGUUCUAGUUCUGUGUGAGCAAUGAAACUACUCUCACGUUACCCCUUGAUGUAAACUCUGUUAGCUCGGUUAGCACUUUCGCCAUUGUUUGACAUGUUAGCGCCGUAAGAUGUGAGCUAACGUUAAUUCUGUGUGAGCAAUGACACUACUCUCACGUUACUCCUUAAUGUAAACCCUGUUAGCUCUGUUAGCACUUUCGCCAUUGUUUGACCUGUUAGCGCUGUGAGCUAACAUUAAUUCUGUGUGAGCAAUGAAACUACUCUCGCGUUACCCCUUAAUGUAAACCCUGUUAGCACUUUCACCAUUGACAUUUGACCUCUUAGCGUCGUAAGAUGUUAGCUAACGUUAAUUCUGUGUGAGCAAUGAAACUACUCUCACGCUACCCCUUAAUGUAAACCCUGUUAGCUCUGUUAGCACUUUCACCAUUGUUUGACCUGUUAGCGCUGUGAGCUAACAUUAAUUCUGUGUGAGCAAUGAAACUACUCUCGCGUUACCCCUUAAUGUAAACCCUGUUAGCACUUUCACCAUUGACAUUUGACCUGUUAGCGUCGUAAGAUGUUAGCUAACGUUAAUUCUGUGUGAGCAAUGAAACUACUCUCACGCUACCCCUUAAUGUAAACCCUGUUAGCUCUGUUAGCACUUUCACCAUUGUUUGACCUGUUAGCGCUGUGAGCUAACAUUAAUUCUGUGUGAGCAAUGAAACUACUCUCGCGUUACCCCUUAAUGUAAACCCUGUUAGCACUUUCACCAUUGACAUUUGACCUGUUAGCGCCGUAAGAUGUGAGCUAACGUUAAUUCUGUGUGAGCAAUGAAACUACUCUCAUGCUACCUCUUAAUGUAAACCCUGUUAGCUCUGUGAGCACUUUAACCGGUUAGCUGUUAGCGCCGUAAGAUGUGAGCCUCAGGCUUGCAGUCGCCAUGUUGAGGGCCGUUGAGAGGCAAUCGAAAAUAACUCGAGGUUUAGGGGACUGAAAUGAAAUUCAAAGUCACUGCAAUUCCUGAACAGAGCAAACAAACAUGCCCGAAAUUCAGCCCUCAGUGAGCAGUGUGCGAUGUCUUGAGCGCUUUGAAUGACAUCACAACAGCCUUUGUAUCCAGGCAAACGCCCACAACGAAUUUACAAGCCGCCUCCGCUCCUCGCUGUCAUUUCCCCAAAGGAGCCCAACAAACCACCCCACCGGGCCCGAGAAUGUUCCAGCGUUGGCAGCCGUUUGAGUACCGCUCAACGAACCUGGCAUCUGCUUUGCAUUUUGAUCGGGAACAAACGGUCCAAACGUCACCGAAAAUCCCCACUCUGUGUAGUAAUGAAACGAUUACUGCAUGCAGCAAUUCGAUGCCUUGAAGGCAUGCGUGUCUUUGGAAAUGUCCGUUUUAGUUUGAUAAUAUGCAACAAACAACAAAGUACAUUUCCAUGAUUACAGCUGCCAAUUAACACACACACAGCUAUUUGUCAAGCGAGUAUCGUGGGGUCAAAAUCCCUGCAGAGCAUGUUACGUGUUUGCAAAUACUUGCCUGUGUUGUUUUCCCAUUAAUUUUUCAUCAACUCCUCUUGUCUGCUGUCAUUCUGGUGUUUUUUGAUAGGGCCAGAUGAAAUUAGCCUCCUGCAUAAUUGAUGUUUGUAAUGUUCAGGCACAUGUUUUCGGAGGGGGGGGGGGGUGUCUAUAAUUCAAAGUGUAACUCUGCAGUCAAAUCCUUUUUCAACACAGGAAAAUGAUGCAUAAUCUGAAAUGCUCCUUCAAAGCGGCACGCUGCGGUAUUCCUUUUUCAUUUUCUCAUAAAGGAUUUUCUGAAAGGUUAUUCCAGCACAGCAAAUGUACUCACAUAUAAGAAAAUACAACAAAGAAAGGCGUUACGCAAUGUAUUCAUAGCUUAAGUGUUUACAGCCUCACAAAACAAAGGCAGAAUUACUGUACCGUAACAUUAUAAAAUCACUUCAACAAAAAUAAUUACCGUAAAAUAACUGUGCAGUGGUGAACAAAUAAUUGAAUGGAACCGGGUCGGUUCUCCUCAUCCUUCUUCUUUUCUCCUUCUGAUUGUCUGUGUUGAAUGUGAGAAACGGCUCGUAGUGUUUAACAAGAAGGGAUUUGCUGAAAUCGCAAGCAAAGAGUAGAAAGAGUAGAAAAUGCUUUUACGCUCUUGGUGCCUUUUGUCCAAGUCAAGUUUACCAAAGUCAGGGUCUGGUGCUUUUGUCUUGGUGUAACUUAUGUCCAUAAAGACCAGAGAACAUUUAAACCCGUAAUCUUUGUUGUGUCUUUAUCCAAAUAAUUCAUAUUAUAUGAAGGCCUUGAUGUGCUGAGUUCACAUUAAGUGCAGACCUGUUACAAUAUGAUGUGUUUUUCUUCCUUUGUUGAGUGAAUGUCUACACACAAUGACGAAUGAGCCUAUGGUCCGCUGAUUGUAAUAUUUGCAAACUGUCUGGGGGAGACAUUCCUGGACGCAUGCUGCAUUUCAGUUUUUCCUCCGUGGAUAUGGAUAAUAAAAAGCAAACACACACACACAUUUAUGAAAACUUGAAGCUGAUGUACCAACGGAAAGAGAGCAAUGCCACUCAGGAUUUAAAUCCUCAUUAGUUGAGUCAUUAUCUUCAUCGCGAGUGUCAUUUGAGAACACACACUUGAACCUCGUCUUGUGUCUCUUUCACAGGGAUUAUGUCUGAGAUGUCUCAGCAGCGACCGCCAAAGGAGGAGGAAGAGGACGAGGACGAGGAGCAAGGGGAAGAGUUCUCGUUUGAGGACAGUGUGGAGGAAGAGAAGCUUCCGGAGGAGGGUGGAGGGGUGACCUCUGACCCCGUCGGAGCAUCGCCUCCUGCUGCACAGGAGGGCAUCUGCACUGAGGACGGCGCGCCAGCUCCCGCUGAGGGCGUUCCGGUUAACGAGUCGGCCAGCGGGACCUCGGAAGCCGAGCCCGGGACCUCAUCUCUCUCUCGUGUGGGGGAGGAGCUCCACGAGCUUCCCGCGGAGACGCCAUCCGCGGAGACGCCAGCGGUGGAGACGCCAUCCGCGGAGACGCCAGCGGUGGAGACGCCGAAGGGAUCGGGAGACCGAGGCCUGGAAAGCUCGGACGCC